Molecule: non-coding RNA, 145 nt
Organism: Gossypium hirsutum (cotton)
Lineage: Eukaryota; Viridiplantae; Streptophyta; Magnoliopsida; Malvales; Malvaceae
Source: Rfam
AAUUAAAAAUUUUAUCUAUUUGUACAAUUAAAAACUGACAUGGCUGAUGAAAUAAUCAGAUAAUGAUACGUGGUGUGCUUCAUAUACAUCAUGUUAGCGUACAUGAAUCAGUUUUUAAUAGUAAAAAUUGAUGAAUUUUUUACAG